Molecule: unclassified non-coding RNA, 349 nt
Filed under: uncultured fungus
Lineage: Eukaryota; Fungi
Description: partial contains small subunit ribosomal RNA, internal transcribed spacer 1, and 5.8S ribosomal RNA
Rfam family: Eukaryotic small subunit ribosomal RNA (bases 1-73)
Source: RNAcentral
GCAAACUUGGUCAUUUAGAGGAAGUAAAAGUCGUAACAAGGUUUCCGUAGGUGAACCUGCGGAAGGAUCAUUAGAGAGCGUCCGCGCCCGUUUCCUCCCCCCUUUCACCCGGGGAGGGCGGCCGGUACCCCCCUCCAAACAUUGUCUACGUGAAUCGUGUUGCCUCGGCGGGACGUAUCCGUCUCGCGGUCGACUCGGCGGCGUAUCGCCUCCGAGCCCGAGUCCGCCGGUGGAACAGCCGAAAUUCGUAUCUUCUGGGAACCCGUCUUAGCGAACGUUGAACGGUAAACUUUAAGCGAAAACUUUCAACAAUGGAUCUCUUGGUUCCGGCAUCGAUGAAGAACGCAGC